This 274-nucleotide ribosomal RNA is filed under the name uncultured bacterium. RNAcentral describes it as "partial 16S ribosomal RNA". It matches the Rfam family "Bacterial small subunit ribosomal RNA", at positions 523 to 796 of the family's 1533-position model. The record is from RNAcentral.
AUACGGAGGGUGCAAGCGUUACUCGGAAUCACUGGGCGUAAAGCGCGCGCAGGCGGGCUGAUAAGUUGGAUGUGAAAGCCUACGGCUCAACCGUAGAACUGCAUCCAAAACUGUCAGUCUAGAGUGUGGGAGAGGAAGAUGGAAUUAGUUGUGUAGGGGUAAAAUCCGUAGAGAUAACUAGGAAUACCAAAAGUGAAGGCAAUCUUCUGGAACACUACUGACGCUGAGGCGCGAAGGCGUGGGGAGCAAACAGGAUUAGAAACCCCAGUAGUCC